This 111-nucleotide ribosomal RNA is filed under the name human gut metagenome. The record is from RNAcentral.
GGUAACUAUAGCAAGAAGGUCACACCUGUUCCCAUUCCGAACACAGUAGUUAAGCUUCUUAGCGCUGAAAAUACUUGGCGGGCGACCGCCCGGAAACAUAAGUCGUUGCCG